Molecule: ribosomal RNA, 465 nt
Filed under: Vreelandella stevensii
Lineage: Bacteria; Pseudomonadati; Pseudomonadota; Gammaproteobacteria; Oceanospirillales; Halomonadaceae
Description: partial 16S ribosomal RNA
Rfam family: Bacterial small subunit ribosomal RNA
Source: RNAcentral
CCUACGGGCGGCAGCAGUGGGGAAUAUUGGACAAUGGGCGAAAGCCUGAUCCAGCCAUGCCGCGUGUGUGAAGAAGGCCUUCGGGUUGUAAAGCACUUUCAGUGGGGAAGAAAGCCUUGGGGCUAAUACCCUCGAGGAAGGACAUCACCCACAGAAGAAGCACCGGCUAACUCCGUGCCAGCAGCCGCGGUAAUACGGAGGGUGCGAGCGUUAAUCGGAAUUACUGGGCGUAAAGCGCGCGUAGGCGGUCUGAUAAGCCGGUUGUGAAAGCCCCGGGCUCAACCUGGGAACGGCAUCCGGAACUGUCAGGCUAGAGUGCAGGAGAGGAAGGUAGAAUUCCCGGUGUAGCGGUGAAAUGCGUAGAGAUCGGGAGGAAUACCAGUGGCGAAGGCGGCCUUCUGGACUGACACUGACGCUGAGGUGCGAAAGCGUGGGUAGCAAACAGGAUUAGAUACCCUAGUAGUC